CAAACGGGACAGUGCAGGUGGAGCUGCGGGUCACCAACCGGGAGUUCACCGACGACCUCCGAAACAUCAGCUCUUCUGCCUACUUGCAGUUUGUCAAGAACUUCACGGAGCAGAUGAACAUGGUCUAUGGCAACAUUCAGGGCUACAAGGGCAUCCAGGUCCUGCGUCUGAUGCCUGGCAGCGUGGUGGUGAAGCACGUCGUCAUCAUCUCCUUGCUGGUGACCGCCCAAACCCAGGAGAAGCUCCGCAACAUCACGGCAGACCUGCGGGGAG
Molecule: long non-coding RNA, 273 nt
Organism: Harpia harpyja (harpy eagle)
Lineage: Eukaryota; Metazoa; Chordata; Aves; Accipitriformes; Accipitridae
Exons: 3
Source: RefSeq, a predicted model, not a curated record